Molecule: ribosomal RNA, 433 nt
Filed under: uncultured bacterium
Lineage: Bacteria
Description: partial 16S ribosomal RNA
Rfam family: Bacterial small subunit ribosomal RNA
Source: RNAcentral
AACGAACGCUGGCGGCAUGCCUAACACAUGCAAGUCGAACGAGACCUUCGGGUCUAGCGGCGCACGGGUGCGUAACGCGUGGGAACCUGCCCUUAGGUUCGGAAUAACUCCCCGAAAGGGGUGCUAAUACCGGAUAAUGUCUUCGGACCAAAGAUUUAUCGCCUUUGGAUGGGCCCGCGUUGGAUUAGCUAGUUGGUAGGGUAAAAGCCUACCAAGGCGACGAUCCAUAGCUGGUCUGAGAGGAUGAUCAGCCACACUGGGACUGAGACACGGCCCAGACUCCUACGGGAGGCAGCAGUGGGGAAUAUUGGACAAUGGGCGAAAGCCUGACCCAGCAAUGCCGCGUGAGUGAUGAAGGCCUUAGGGUUGUAAAGCUCUUUUACCCGGGAUGAUAAUGACAGUACCGGGAGAAUAAGCUCCGGCUAACUCCGUG